AUGAAUAGGGAUAAACUUAGGAAGAGACACAUCAUCAAACCCCUUGAUUGCGUUUACUGCUUGAAACAAGAGUCUUGUUCUCACCUAUUUUUUGAAUGUAUAGUUGCUAAACAUCUCUGGACCCACAUUGAGGAAUAUUUCUCUAGUCAGAUUGGCUCAUCCUUUGAAUCUGUCGCCAGAUUCUGGAUUGCUACCAAAAAGUGCUCAGUUUUAAACAUUGUUAGCUCAGCUGUCCUUUGGUGCCUCUGGAAAUAUAGAAAUGCUAUGAUUUUCAGUAACACCUCCUGAAUUUCCAUUCCGCAGGUCUUGAGGUUGAUCAGGAACAUGGCGAGGAACUGGGCGAUUCUCUCCACCGGAUCAGACAAGGACAAGUUGAUGAGCUACGUUGAAACCCUAACAUGA
This 402-nucleotide ribosomal RNA is filed under the name Triticum aestivum (bread wheat). RNAcentral's name for it is "partial small subunit ribosomal RNA". The record is from RNAcentral. Lineage: Eukaryota; Viridiplantae; Streptophyta; Magnoliopsida; Poales; Poaceae.